CGCGUGGAUUUCAGUAGAAAAUGUGUGGGGCAGAUUGGGCUUUAGGUGAGGUAGGGCCCCCUUAUUUGCAUACCAUUAAGUGCACACAUGAUGAGUCUUCUCAAGUUUCUUCUACGCCA
Molecule: non-coding RNA, 119 nt
Organism: Caenorhabditis elegans
Lineage: Eukaryota; Metazoa; Nematoda; Chromadorea; Rhabditida; Rhabditidae
Source: Ensembl